UAACGCGUGAAGUUGACCGCUGGGGAGUACGGCCGACAAGGUUAAAACUCAAAGGAAUUGACGGGGACCCGCACAAGCGGUGGAUGAUGUGGAUUAAUUCGAUGCAACGCGAAAACCUUACCUGCGCUUGACAUGCCAGGAACCCCGAAGAGAUUUGGGGGUGCCCGAAAGGGAGCCUGGACACAGGUGCUGCAUGGCUGUCGUCAGCUCGUGUCGUGAGAUGUUGGGUUAAGUCCCGCAACGAGCGCAACCCUUAUCCUUAGUUGCUACGCAAGGGCACUCUAAGGAGACUGCCGGUGACAAACCGGAGGAAGGUGGGGAUGACGUCAAGUCCUCAUGGCCCUUAUGCGCAGGGCUUCACACGUCAUACAAUGGUCGGUACAGAGGGUCGCCAACCCGCGAGGGGGAGCCAAUCCCAGAAAGCCGAUCGUAGUCCGGAUUGCAGUCUGCAACUCGACUGCAUGAAGUCGGAAUCGCUAGUAAUCGCGGAUCAGCAUGUCGCGGUGAAUACGUUCCCG
This 518-nucleotide ribosomal RNA is filed under the name uncultured bacterium. RNAcentral describes it as "bacterial SSU rRNA". It matches the Rfam family "Bacterial small subunit ribosomal RNA", at positions 853 to 1376 of the family's 1533-position model. The record is from RNAcentral.